Molecule: ribosomal RNA, 323 nt
Filed under: uncultured bacterium
Lineage: Bacteria
Description: bacterial SSU rRNA
Rfam family: Bacterial small subunit ribosomal RNA
Source: RNAcentral
GACGAACGCUGGCGGCGUGCCUAACACAUGCAAGUCGAACGAGGUCCAUGCAGUGGCAACACUGCGGAAGACCUAGUGGCGAACGGGUGAGUAACACGUGAGGAACCUGCCCCCGAAGACCGGGAUAACCCUCCGAAAGGAGAGCUAAUACCGGAUACCCCCACUUGAUCGCAUGAUCGGGUGAGGAAAUGGAUUCCGCUUCGGGAGGGCCUCGCGGCCUAUCAGCUUGUUGGUGGGGUAACGGCCCACCAAGGCAUCGACGGGUAGCUGGUCUGAGAGGACGAUCAGCCACACUGGGACUGAGACACGGCCCAGACUCCUAC